Molecule: non-coding RNA, 646 nt
Organism: Cinara cedri
Lineage: Eukaryota; Metazoa; Arthropoda; Insecta; Hemiptera; Aphididae
Source: the annotation of a GenBank genome assembly
AGAUAUAGGAUGUAUAGAGUAAUUUAAUUAAUAUCGAUAUGUACGCAACAUUGAACCAUUUCCAAUGAAAAACGAUUGAGAGCAUAGCAUUAUAUUAGCCGAUAUUUUGAAGUUUUGUUUUCUCAUUGAUUAUGAAAAUUACAAAGGCGAUCCGUGCAUAACCUUCUUUUGACUGCGGUGUGCUAGACGUGCAUAUGGCUUAAACAAACAACCUAACAUAACUUUUAGAGAUCCACCAUUCACGGGCAGCCGAUGUUCAGUAUUUCCAAUAAAUAUGUAUAAUAACGCAAUUAAAUAGGUUAUUGGUUUGUCGAUCGAAAAUUCAGAUGAUGAUAAAAUAUAUUGUGUUCUAUAAAACUGUGUGCUUCCAAUAUAAGUAUAAAAUGACUGUUGUUCAGCUUUAUGUACACCAUAUACACAAGUAUAUGCGGUUUGUUAACAUAUAAACUUGUUUAUUUAGAAAAAAAAAAAAAAAAAAAAAAAAAGAAAGGUAAUGCGAAAACUUAUUUGAUUUUAACCGCAUUGCGUAUUUGAUGCUGUAUAUUUGAGCACUGUAUGUAUGCAUUUAUUUUGCAGUCACGCGUUUUCUUAUAUAACAUAGAUCGUUUAACAAUAACAUAGGUAGGCAGUUGCAUUUCGUCGAGCC